CGAUUAGGUAGUUGGUUAGGUAACGGCUUACCAAGCCGUUGAUCGGUACGGGUUGUGAGAGCAAGAGCCCGGAGGUGGAACCUGAGACAAGGUUCCAGGCCCUACGGGGUGCAGCAGGCGCGAAACCUCCGCAAUGUGAGAAAUCGCGACGGGGGGAUCCCAAGUGCCAUUCUUAACGGGAUGGCUUUUCAUUAGUGUAAAAAGCUUUUGGAAUAAGAGCUGGGCAAGACCGGUGCCAGCCGCCGCGGUAACACCGGCAGCUCUAGUGGUAGCAAUUUUUAUUGGGCCUAAAGCGUCCGUAGCCGGUUUAAUAAGUCUCUGGUGAAAUCCUGUAGCUUAACUGUGGGAAUUGCUGGAGAUACUAUUAGACUUGAGACCGGGAGAGGUUAGAGGUACUCCCAGGGUAGAGGUGAAAUUCUGUAAUCCUGGGAGGACCGCCUGUUGCGAAGGCGUCUAACUGGAACGGUUCUGACGGUGAGGGACGAAAGUUAGGGGCGCGAACCGGAUUAGAUACCCGGGUAGUCCUAACUGUAAACGAUGCGGACUUGGUGUUGGGGUGGCUUUGAGCUGCUCCAGUGCCGAAGGGAAGCUGUUAAGUCCGCCGCCUGGGAAGUACGGUCGCAAGACUGAAACUUAA
This 637-nucleotide ribosomal RNA is filed under the name uncultured archaeon. RNAcentral's name for it is "bacterial SSU rRNA". It matches the Rfam family "Archaeal small subunit ribosomal RNA", at positions 222 to 859 of the family's 1478-position model. The record is from RNAcentral.